UCCUCUUCCAUCAGCCUCCACUGCCUCCCUCUCCUCCUCAUUUUCCUCUACUCCUCAGCACUCCUCUGUUCCUCUCGCUGUGCUGGCCCUUGUUCCCUCCAUAAUUGGAGUGCUGCUGCUGGUUGUACUGGUUGUACAGGUGAGACGAUGUGUCCAGAGGAAACCUGAAGACAGAGAUCCUGCAGCAGCUGCUACCUCCUCAUCAGUGAGAAGAACUUCAGCAGAUGGUCGAGACGAGUCAAACCGAAAAAGAGAGAGCGAUUCAGCUGCAGUGCAGAGAACAGCUGACAUCACUUAUGGAGACAUCACCAUCAGGACAAACAGCAGACACAGAGAUCUUCCACCAGAGCCAGCCAUCAUCUACUCCUCACUGAAGCCGAGCCACACACCUUCACCACAGCUUAACCAGUCUACCCAGUGACGUCCAGCUGGCUGCCAAACACAUCCCUGCACUCCUCUCUAUAUUAUUUAUUCAAUCAUAUUCUGUGUGUGUUUACAGCUGUACAGCUGCACUGGACCAGUUUGAAUGUAGAGCUCAGGAUGAAGUGGAAAGUUUGUUUGUCUUUAAUAAAAGAUUUUAA
Molecule: non-coding RNA, 581 nt
Organism: Maylandia zebra (zebra mbuna)
Lineage: Eukaryota; Metazoa; Chordata; Actinopteri; Cichliformes; Cichlidae
Source: RefSeq, a predicted model, not a curated record